AGAGUUGCUAUGACAACAAGGAGAAUAAUAGAACUGUGCGAUAGAUUUCGAUUAAUUAUUGCAGACAGUAUUUCAAAGAAGUUAGUUUACUAAUUAUACAUAUCCUAACGGAAAUGGCCCGUCCAGAUCAAGGAUUAGCUGUUGCUAGAUGUAAUUACGUUGGUCAAGACGAUAUUUGGAAAUCUCACGUCUAUCACGAAACGAAAGCUGCGAAGUCAUGGCCGAGAAAUUGGAACUUCAUGACAACAAGAUAUCGCGACCUUGUAAAAGAAGAAUUUCCGGUGAAAGAAAAAGCUCACCAAGAAACUAAAUUGCCGAAAAUCACACCAAUAGAAGAAAGGGUUAAGGUCUGUUCAAUUUAUUAUACAAUGAUUCAUACAACUCUCAGUCUAUUUACUUUUUCGUAUUCAUAACAACAUUUUAAUUAGAAUUGUUAUUAAAACAGGUGUUGCCCUCGCCUCGACCAAUUCCAAGAACAACAGCACAUAUGAUUGGCUGGAGAUCGUCGCUUCCCGAUCUUAGAGUGAGUAAUGUUUUUCGCGUUAAGCUAUAAGAAAAAAAAAUGAUGGUAAAGAUAAAAUAUUUCCGUAACGGCCUCCUAAGAUUUGACUGGAAGAAAAGGUUAUUGGAAAGGUGAAGUAUUUAGCAUUAUUUUGCUUGCAUUUCUUUCCAGUAAACCUCUUGUCCGUCAACCUUUUUAUGUUCUUUUUUACAUUUAAAUAAGUCGAAACUCAAGAACAAAGUAAAAUAAUACUGACUGUGCUUAGCAUAUACUUUCACCUUAAUAUUAAACGCGAUACUCUCCCAUUUAACAACACGAAAAUCGCAAGUUGUUAUCGCUUUCAGAAAAGUGCCAAAUGUAUAGAAACAAUAUUAAAAGUACUCUUUUUGAAAUUAAUUUUACUGUUAACAGCAAAAAAUAUAUAAAUAGUUUAUGAUAAAAAAAGACAAAGAAUACAAAAAAAACACAAUACAAUUAUUGAAAUAAAAUAACUAUAAGAAAAAAAAAGUAAAUCCUAGUAUACAAUUUAUAAACAAGUGAGAAAUUGUUAAUGUCAAGAAAAGUAAAUUGUACAAAUUUGGAAUACUGUAUCCUUGUCAGUUGAAAGAUUUUCUUUUUUGUAUGAAAAGGGAAUUUUAGUAUGUUUAUCUCUAAGAGUAUUGAUUUCUUCAAGGAAGCUGAAGGUUUAGCAGACACGAUAGCUUAAAAAAAAGGCAAAUUAUAUCAAGUGAACUUAGAUCCUAAAAAAUAUUUAAUAUAGGCUGAUAAGUAGAGGAUAUAAAGUUCUGUUUAAAAAAAACAGGACAAUCAAUCGACGAUUUUUUUAUUUUGUACAAAUAAAACUUGCUUGAAAAAAAAAUACUUAAACGUUGAUUUGACAGGCAACAAUUCCGCAAGUGUUUAUUAUGUCAAAAAAAAAAUAAUAAUUCUUUUUCUACAGCUCGAACGCUAUGGCAGAUAUGCAAAAGGGAAAGGAGGCUUAAUUCGACAAUUGAAGUGGCCGGCUGAAGGCAUUUGCUGAAGAAAAGAGAGAGAGAGAGAGAGAGAGAGAGA
RNAcentral lists this unclassified non-coding RNA (1555 nucleotides) under Dimorphilus gyrociliatus. RNAcentral describes it as "dgyrCDS2373". Lineage: Eukaryota; Metazoa; Annelida; Polychaeta; Dinophilidae. The record is from RNAcentral.